AUCAACAAGCAGUGAUGUUCCUAACUAGUAUUAUUUUGAAGACAAAUGCAAAUGUUGUACCUAUUAUUUUGGAGCUACCUUAUGCAAAAGAAAGGCAAGCAUUGGACAACGCAUGUGAACAUCGUACAGAGUAUGCGAUAUUGAAUGUAGAGGACCAAGGAGGGACAUCUUUUUGCUUUUGCAGUUCCUUUAAACUUUUUGGCAUAAUU
Molecule: long non-coding RNA, 209 nt
Organism: Quercus robur (English oak)
Lineage: Eukaryota; Viridiplantae; Streptophyta; Magnoliopsida; Fagales; Fagaceae
Exons: 3
Source: RefSeq, a predicted model, not a curated record